GACGAACGCUGGCGGCGUGCUUAACACAUGCAAGUCGAACGGUGAACUCCGCUUGCGGGGGGAUCAGUGGCGAACGGGUGAGUAACACGUGGGCAACCUGCCCUCAGCUCUGGGAUAACUCCAAGAAAUUGGGGCUAAUACCGGAUAUGACCGCUGACCGCAUGGUCUGGUGGUGGAAAGAUUUAUCGGCUGGGGAUGGGCCCGCGGCCUAUCAGCUUGUUGGUGGGGUAGUGGCCAACCAAGGCGACGACGGGUAGCCGGCCUGAGAGGGUGACCGGCCACACUGGGACUGAGACACGGCCCAGACUCCUACGGGAGGCAGCAGUGGGGAAUAUUGCGCAAUGGGCGAAAGCCUGACGCAGCGACGCCGCGUGGGGGAUGACGGCCUUCGGGUUGUAAACCUCUUUCAGCAGGGACGAAGCGAAAGUGACGGUACCUGCAGAAGAAGCACCGGCCAACUACGUG
This 465-nucleotide ribosomal RNA is filed under the name uncultured bacterium. RNAcentral's name for it is "partial 16S ribosomal RNA". It matches the Rfam family "Bacterial small subunit ribosomal RNA", at positions 28 to 507 of the family's 1533-position model. The record is from RNAcentral.